CCUACGGGGCGCAGCAGUGAGGAAUAUUGGUCAAUGGACGAGAGCCUGAACCAGCCAAGUAGCGUGGAGGAAGACUGUACUAAGGGUUGUAAACUUCUUUUAUAGAGGAACAAAAGCGGAGACGCGUCUCCUUAUGCAUGUACUCUAAGAAUAAGCAUCGGCUAACUCCGUGCCAGCAGCCGCGGUAAUACGGAGGAUCCGAGCGUUAUCCGGAUUUAUUGGGUUUAAAGGGUGCGCAGACGGGUUGUUAAGUCAGUUGUGAAAGUUUGCGGCUCAACC
RNAcentral lists this ribosomal RNA (279 nucleotides) under uncultured bacterium. RNAcentral's name for it is "partial 16S ribosomal RNA". It matches the Rfam family "Bacterial small subunit ribosomal RNA", at positions 338 to 614 of the family's 1533-position model. The record is from RNAcentral.